UAGUACUAAGUAAAAAACUAUAUUAAAGGGUUGUAAUGCACUUUUAAGAAGCACAGCUAAAUGUGAAUGUAUAAAGCUGUCAGGUAACCCUGUAUUUUGUUACGUUUUAGAGUAUGUGAAAAAGACUGAGUAGAGAAGAAACUGGAGUCAGGGCGACCCGCAGGUGCCAUAGUCAUUUGGUUUUAUAUUUAUUUAAAGCUAUGUACUCACUUAUAUAAGCCCCAUUUUGUAUCCUGACAAUGUCUUCUAGUGUUAAUAUGCAGUGAGUAAUAUGUGUUUGAUGGGUUGUAAAGAUACAUAUUAAGAAUGUUUAAAGGGCGCGGCUGAGGGGAGGAGAUGAUCUCGCGAGAGCUGUGAGCUGUGCGUAAGUAAAAUGGCGGCAUACAUGUAGUUCAAAAUUAAAUCCACUCAGGGAGCAAACUGGAAGAAGAGACCUUGACGAGCCUGGAGAGCUACCUGGACGAGUGUUUUGACAACAUCGUGAUG
Molecule: long non-coding RNA, 486 nt
Organism: Fundulus heteroclitus (mummichog)
Lineage: Eukaryota; Metazoa; Chordata; Actinopteri; Cyprinodontiformes; Fundulidae
Exons: 2
Source: RefSeq, a predicted model, not a curated record